CUGCCCUCAAGCACGGCUUGUGUGUUGGGCUUCGCCCCCCGGCUCCCGGGGGGCGGGCCCGAAAGGCAGCGGCGGCACCGCGUCCGGCCCUCGGGCGUAUGGGGCUUCGUCCCCCGCUCUGUAGGCCCGGCCGGCGCCCGCCGGCGACCCCAAUCAAUCUUUCCA
RNAcentral lists this unclassified non-coding RNA (165 nucleotides) under uncultured Penicillium. Its description in RNAcentral is "sequence contains ITS2". The record is from RNAcentral. Lineage: Eukaryota; Fungi; Ascomycota; Eurotiomycetes; Eurotiales; Aspergillaceae.